This is a small nuclear RNA of Serinus canaria (Common canary), 95 nucleotides long. The record is from Ensembl. NCBI's taxonomy places the organism in Eukaryota, Metazoa, Chordata, Aves, Passeriformes, Fringillidae.
AUGUCAUGUCAGCAGCACAGGUACCAAAAUUGGAACGAUACAGAGAAGUCCAGCAUAGCUCCUGCACAGAAAUUUUUGGAGUGUUCCAUAUUUUU